UGGGGAAUUUUGGACAAUGGGCGGAAGCCUGAUCCAGCAAUGCCGCGUGUGUGAAGAAGGCCUUCGGGUUGUAAAGCACUUUUGUCCGGAAAGAAAUCCUCUGGGUUAAUACCUCGGGGGGAUGACGGUACCGGAAGAAUAAGCACCGGCUAACUACGUGCCAGCAGCCGCGGUAAUACGUAGGGUGCAAGCGUUAAUCGGAAUUACUGGGCGUAAAGCGUGCGCAGGCGGUUUUGUAAGACGGAUGUGAAAUCCCCGGGCUUAACCUGGGAACUGCAUUCGUGACUGCAAGGCUAGAGUAUGGCAGAGGGGGGUAGAAUUCCACGUGUAGCAGUGAAAUGCGUAGAGAUGUGGAGGAAUACCGAUGGCGAAGGCAGCCCCCUGGGCCAAUACUGACGCUCAUGCACGAAAAGCGUGGGGGAGCAAAACAGGAUUAGAUACCCUGGUAGUCCACGCCCUAAACGAUGUCAACUAGUUGUUGGGGAUUCAUUUCCUUAGUAACGUAGCUAACGCGUGAAGUUGACCGCCUGGGGGAGUACGGUCGCAAGAUUAAAACUUAAAUGAAUUGACGGGUCAUAGCUGUUUCCU
This 588-nucleotide ribosomal RNA is filed under the name uncultured bacterium. RNAcentral describes it as "partial 16S ribosomal RNA". It matches the Rfam family "Bacterial small subunit ribosomal RNA", at positions 355 to 932 of the family's 1533-position model. The record is from RNAcentral.